Molecule: small RNA, 107 nt
Filed under: Marmota monax (woodchuck)
Lineage: Eukaryota; Metazoa; Chordata; Mammalia; Rodentia; Sciuridae
Source: RNAcentral
ACUCGGUGUGGUGGCACAUGCCUGUAAUCCCAGCUACUUGGAAGCCAGAGACAGGAGGAUCACUAGUUCAAGGCCAGCUUGGGCAACUUAGAGAAACCCUAUCUCAA